GUUGGUACGGCGCUGUUAAUC
RNAcentral lists this microRNA (21 nucleotides) under Pristionchus pacificus. RNAcentral describes it as "ppc-miR-8270-5p". Lineage: Eukaryota; Metazoa; Nematoda; Chromadorea; Rhabditida; Neodiplogasteridae. The record is from miRBase by way of RNAcentral.